UACGUAGGGCGCAAGCGUUGUCCGGAAUUACUGGGCGUAAAGAGCUCGUAGGCGGUCUGUCGCGUCUGCCGUGAAAACCCGAGGCUUAACCUCGGGCUGGCGGUGGAUACGGGCAGACUAGAGGUAGGUAGGGGAGAAUGGAAUUCCCGGUGUAGCGGUGAAAUGCGCAGAUAUCGGGAGGAACACCGGUGGCGAAGGCGGUUCUCUGGGCCUUACCUGACGCUGAGGAGCGAAAGCGUGGGGAGCGAACAGG
This 253-nucleotide ribosomal RNA is filed under the name uncultured bacterium. RNAcentral's name for it is "partial 16S ribosomal RNA". It matches the Rfam family "Bacterial small subunit ribosomal RNA", at positions 524 to 776 of the family's 1533-position model. The record is from RNAcentral.